This 107-nucleotide small nuclear RNA is filed under the name Prolemur simus (greater bamboo lemur). The record is from RNAcentral. Lineage: Eukaryota; Metazoa; Chordata; Mammalia; Primates; Lemuridae.
GUGCUCGCUUCGGCAGCACAUAUACUAAAAUUGGAAUGAUUCAGAGAAAAUUAGCAUGGCCCCUGCACAAGGAUGACAUGCAAAUUCGUGAAGCGUUCCAUUUUUUU